This 440-nucleotide ribosomal RNA is filed under the name uncultured bacterium. RNAcentral describes it as "partial 16S ribosomal RNA". It matches the Rfam family "Bacterial small subunit ribosomal RNA", at positions 338 to 795 of the family's 1533-position model. The record is from RNAcentral.
CCUACGGGUGGCCGCAGUGGGGAAUAUUGGACAAUGGGGGAAACCCUGAUCCAGCGACGCCGCGUGAGUGAAGAAGUAUUUCGGUACGUACAGCUCUAUCAGCCGGAACGAAAAUGCCGGUCCCUGACUAAAACGCCCCGGCUAACUACGUACCAGCAGCCUCGGUAAUCAGUAGGGGGCAAGCGUUAUCCGGAUUUACUGGGUGUAAAGGGAACGUAGACGGCAGGGCAAGUCUGGAGUGAAAUGCCGGGGCCCAACCCCGGAACUGCUCUGGAAACUGUGAAGCUGGAGUGCAGGAGAGGGAAGCGGAAUUCCGGGUGUAGCGGGGAAAUGCGUAGAUAUCAGGAGGAACACCGGCGGCGAAGGCGGCUUACUGGACUGUAACUGACGUUGAGGCUCGAAGGCGUGGGGAGCAAACAGGAGUAGAUACCCCAGUAGUC